UUUCCAGGCAUGGGUGCACCACUAGGCCUAAGAGAGUAUCCACCAGGUGUUCUACCCGGGAAAUGGGACCUGCCUGUUGACCCUCGGCAGUUUUUACUAGGACACGCACCAUUUAGACCUCCAGGUUCACUUGGUCCAAGAGAAUUUUUUAAUCCUGGUACCUGUUUACCACCUCCAACCCAUGGUCCUCAGGACUACCCUCUGCCACAACCUGCUGCAAGAGACUUACAGCCUUCCGGCCCAAGAGAGGGAGCCCCACCUGUCUCUCCUAGCAGUGUCCAAGACAGUUCACCGCCUUCAAAACCCAACCCCUAACUUUGUCCUCUAUCACUGAGUCAGAGUGGAAGAGAGAGCGGACAUUGUAUUGUUCAUUACAGCAAAGAAUUCCAUCGGCUUGAAUACCUUAAAGUUUGCUAUAAAGAAUUUGUUUUUUGUACUAAGCUGCCUUGGCGGUAUGCAUUUUUGAGCCAAACAAAAAUAUAUUCUCCAUUCUAAGUAAAAAACAAAAAAUCACUUCUAAUGCCAAUGUCCUUCCAACUUUGAAAUGUGCAAUGAAGAAUACCUGUGUUUAGUUUAUGUACCAUAUGUAAUUGCUGGAUGAUUUAGAAUAUCCUAAAGUAUGAACAUUUCCUGUGGAAAUGCUUUCAGAACAUGUAUGACCAUGGCCUGGGUCUAGUGUGUACCAGCAGAUGCAGAGCAAGGGGCUCACAGCUCCAUCUGUGUCUCUGAGACUGUCACGCUAACAACGUUUCCUCAAGGAUCAUAAACUCUCCUGUGUGGCUGAAGUUCUUUGUAGUGAUAGUUCAUAAACUUUCCUGUGUGGCUGG
Molecule: long non-coding RNA, 827 nt
Organism: Mesocricetus auratus (golden hamster)
Lineage: Eukaryota; Metazoa; Chordata; Mammalia; Rodentia; Cricetidae
Exons: 3
Source: RefSeq, a predicted model, not a curated record